GUAGGUGGCAAGCGUUGUCCGGAAUUAUUGGGCGUAAAGCGCGCGCAGGCGGCCUUUAAGUCUGAUGUGAAAGCCCACGGGCUCAACCGUGGAGGGUCAUUGGAAACUGGGGGACUUGAGUACAGAAGAGGAAAGCGGAAUUCCAAGUGUAGCGGUGAAAUGCGUAGAGAUUUGGAGGAACACCAGUGGCGAAGGCGGCUUUCUGGUCUGUAACUGACGCUGAGGCGCGAAAGCGUGGGGAGCAAACAGGAUUAGAUACCCUGGUAGUCCACGCCGUAAACGAUGAGUGCUAAGUGUUAGGGGGUUUCCGCCCCUUAGUGCUGCAGCUAACGCAUUAAGCACUCCGCCUGGGGAGUACGGCCGCAAAGGCUGA
This 373-nucleotide ribosomal RNA is filed under the name uncultured organism. RNAcentral describes it as "partial 16S ribosomal RNA". It matches the Rfam family "Bacterial small subunit ribosomal RNA", at positions 527 to 897 of the family's 1533-position model. The record is from RNAcentral.